Molecule: long non-coding RNA, 360 nt
Filed under: Miscanthus lutarioriparius
Lineage: Eukaryota; Viridiplantae; Streptophyta; Magnoliopsida; Poales; Poaceae
Description: MluLR14141
Source: RNAcentral
CAUAAUUGCUGCUCAGGUACUAAAUUCAGAGCUAGUCUCCUUAUGCAAUACUAUUCCAAUCUCUUGUUUUACCCUUUGUCAAAGGAGAAACCUGGAGGAGUAACGUGAUGCUUGCAUAUUUAAUUUUCUAAAAGAAAGUUACUGACGGUUAACUAGUUACAGACUUACAGUGUGACCUGCAUUGGUUGUAAGUGAAGAACUCAAGAACACCUGAUCAACCUCAAACCUGUUCCCCAUAUUUAUAGUCAACAUCGUUAGAAUAGUCAUUUGAUUUCACGCACAAGUUUGUGAGAAACUGAAUAUAAACCAUUUUUAACACCUUUAGUUGUGGGUUGGAAAGGAAAAGAGAUGAAUGAGAGA